AUUUUAUAUUGGUAUACAUAAGAGAUAUCCAGUUAUUACAGUUGCAACUAUUCAGUUACCAGGAAUAGUUCAUUUUGGAUUUCUGAAAAGUAAUUUUAUAUUGGGUGUGGUUAUAAAAGGUAAAUGCUAGGCCAAUGGAUAUUCCAUACGUCUUGUUGUAGGCUUCCAGGGAAUAUGGCUGGUAAUUUGAGAUCACUCAAGGGCAUUUUGGUGUGUAGUUUUAAAGGAUGUUGGUACAUUAAUGGUUCCUCUACAGUUCAUUACUGGUUUUAGUAUCACACUGAAUGGGAUUAAGUUUGUUAAAUUUAUGAACUCACUAGAUAGAAAGAAGUCUAAAGAAAGGGGCCUAAGAAAAAAGUAUACUUACAGCAGUAAAUAUCCUGUGAGAGAAGUUAAGUUUCAAUAAGAUUUUUUUUUUCUUCAGAAAGGUAGAUAUUAGGAGUUUGCAUGGAUUUAAGCAUAUGUUUAAACAUCAAAAUUCUUCUGGUAGAGCUGGGUGCGGUGGCACAUACCUGUAAUUCAAGCAGCUUUGGGGACUGAAGUAGGAUGAUUGCGAGUUCAAAGCCAGCCUCAGCAAAAGCGAGGCACUAAAUAACUUAGUGAGACCCUGUCUCUAAAUAAAAUACAGACAAAGGCUGAAGAUGUGGCUCAGUGUUUGAGUGCCUCUGAGUUCAAUCUCUGGUACAAAAAAAAAAAAAAAAAAAACCCAAACAAUUCUUCUGAUAGAAUGAACUUGUAUCCCAUGUAAGAAUAUAUUAUUGUAGAAGAAUAUACUUUUGUAGAAGAAUAUAUUAUUGUAGAAGAAGAAUAUAUUAUUGUAGAAGGGAUGUGUGAA
This 835-nucleotide long non-coding RNA is filed under the name Marmota monax (woodchuck). Lineage: Eukaryota; Metazoa; Chordata; Mammalia; Rodentia; Sciuridae. The record is from RNAcentral.